GAAAUGCGAUAAGUAAUGUGAAUUGCAGAAUUCAGUGAAUCAUCGAAUCUUUGAACGCACAUUGCGCCCGCCAGUAUUCUGGCGGGCAUGCCUGUUCGAGCGUCAUUACAACCCUCAGGCCCCCGGGCCUGGCGUUGGGGAUCGGCGGAAGCCCCCUGCGGGCACAACGCCGUCCCCCAAAUACCGUGGCGGUCCCGCCGCAGCUUCCAUUGCGUAGUAGCUAACACCUCGCAACUGGAGAGCGGCGCGGCCACGCCGUAAAACACCCAACUUCUGAAUGUUGACCUCGAAUCAGGUAGGAAUACCCGCUGAACUUAAGC
Molecule: unclassified non-coding RNA, 320 nt
Filed under: plant metagenome
Description: partial contains 5.8S ribosomal RNA, internal transcribed spacer 2, and large subunit ribosomal RNA
Rfam family: 5.8S ribosomal RNA (bases 1-105)
Source: RNAcentral